Molecule: long non-coding RNA, 1305 nt
Filed under: Anas platyrhynchos platyrhynchos (common mallard)
Lineage: Eukaryota; Metazoa; Chordata; Aves; Anseriformes; Anatidae
Description: lncRNA (ENSAPLG00000021151.1)
Source: RNAcentral
CCUCGUGUAAGAUUAUGGAAAUGCCAUGCAAGAGGCAUAACACGGUAAUUUGCAGGUUGGGAUGAAAAAACCAUUAAUGCUCAAUUUCUGCAUAUUGAGUUAUUAUGUGCAAGUUAUUAACAGUGUAAUUGUUCAGCUCAGAUGCUGGUGGCAAGAGAUUUCAGAUGAUAAAUAUGUCUCCAGCAUAACUCAAUUCUUUUCACUAGAGUUUGACUAAAGGACAAAUUAGGUCCCUGAUGUCCGGGAAUGAAUUUGGUGGAAGCAGCCUGUAUCAAAGGGCCUGGGGAUUUGAGAUUGUAGGGUACAAGAUGAACAUAAAUAUUUCAUGGUGGAGAAUAGUCUUGACCCCUCACAGAAAACCUUCUGGUACAGGAUUCAAAUAUGCAGCAUCGCUGAUUCUUUUUGCAUGCACCAUCCUCAUGUAACAUUGAAACUACCUGCUCUGUUUUCAGUUUUGGAAAUAAGGAGUAAUUGUCACUUCAAAUUUGACCUGCUGGAGCAGACACAGUUCCAUUAAGACACAAUUCUUCAACCAUUAUCAAUGCUCAGUACAAAAACCGUCCCCUUCCUCAUUAUUUCACAGCUAGAUUGUUAAACAUCUUAAGCCAUUUUGGAGGAAUAAUAAAAACAAAAAGAUAUCAAGAAAUCAACUUUAUCUCCCGAAAAAACAGGGAGGAAUGAAUUUCCCUAGUGCCUUCCACCAUCAUCUCACUCUUAUCAUGAAGGAGGGACUGUGCUGGCUUGCUGAAAAGAAAAAUGGGAGGGAGGAGAAUGCAGCCACUGGGGAGGCUGGAGCUCCCUAAAUGUAAUUUCCAUAUCUCAUUAUUUGCAGGCUGUGUCCCGAUCGGGCCGAGUACCCUUUGGAGAAGUUUUGCUCCAGAUGCAUCAGCUCAGGGCGGCUGCUGCUACCGAGGAGUCCCGAGAUGCUCCGGCCUUCUCCAUGUACUACAGGGGACUCACGGUGCAUUCCGGGAGCCAAACGCGUGACUCAGAUCUCUGUUUCUCCAGCGGCUCGAACUGCACGCUGCUGGGAGCUCUGCACAACCAAAACUGUGCCGGACCCAGCAAAACCUCUCCUGGUCAGUGGCGGAGGAAGCACAAGCACACGUAGCUCUGCACGGCUACCCCACAGAGAACCUGGCCCUGAUUCUGCUGUCAUGCUGGUGCAGAAGAGCAAUUCAACUGGUGUCAGAGGAUUUCCAUUGACAUAAAUCUAGUGUUUUGCCUCCCCCUCACAAUUUCUGCCAAAAGCUCUGGAUUGCUGUGGUCAAUGGCAUCUCUGAAGGACACACGGGCUGACAGACA